UAAUAAGUGUUUUAUGGCACUUUUUAAAUCCAUAUCCACCUUGUGUGCAAUGUCGGUCGAUCUUCUUCAUGGAGAUCGACCAAACAUCAACCUUUAUCUUUUAACUCUUUGUCUGAAGAAUAUUAUGAAUAAACAAUUCAAAAUA
Molecule: unclassified non-coding RNA, 145 nt
Filed under: soil metagenome
Description: partial internal transcribed spacer 1
Source: RNAcentral